Long non-coding RNA from Lynx canadensis (Canada lynx), 2681 nucleotides. RefSeq lists it as uncharacterized. Lineage: Eukaryota; Metazoa; Chordata; Mammalia; Carnivora; Felidae. The record is from RefSeq and is a predicted model, not a curated record. The transcript is spliced from 2 exons.
UACCCACUGAACCAGCUAGGUGCCCCUCAUGUUAAAAUUUUUAAUUAUAUUUUAGAACUAAAGAACUUGCAUGUCGUGUCCAAAGGAUCUCAAAGGAAUGAGAGUUAGCUCAGGAUGGGACAAUUUUAGAAAAGUAUGGAUUUUACUGAGUCAGUGGAUAAUAUUUAGUGGACCAGUAGGAUACGAUGUCCUGGUUGGAUAGAAUAGUGUAAGGAAAGUGCAAAUGGAAAAUACAAAGGCAUGUUUGGAGGUUAGCAAGUAAACCAAGUGUGUUUACAGAAGUCAUCUAAGGAACUCUCAGGAGAUGAGAAUACCCUGAAAGAUUUGGGACAAAUUUCGGAAAUCUCGUGAGUCUAAGUAAUUAUGGCCUUCUCCUAUGAGUAUUGUGGCAUUAGUGCAGAUGUUAAGAAAGAAGAUAACCUACUUGAAGUAGUGUUUUAAGAAAUUAACCUGGAAGGGAGUAAGUAAAAUUCAGGUAGAUCAUUUACAAGGUCUAGCACUCAUCUUGUUACAAUAAAAUAAGGGCUGGGACUUUUGGUCACACAUUUCAGGGGCAUAUCAAUGUAGAGUUGAAGGAACAGUGUUACUAAAGUAACAACAAGGAAAAGAGUUCUAGGUCUCUUUCAGAGAUACUUCUCUAUGCAUCUUUGGUACAUGCACCAUUUUCUUUUCUGUCAGCUUCUAUGGUCCCAUGGUAACCAUAAAGAGUAGUAGUUAAAUUAAAUCACUAACACUCUUUCCUUCCUUUUAUCUCUGUAUUUUUAUAUCAUUAGAAUGGAUCACUGGAUCAAUGGAUAUAGUACUUGAGAGAGAAUCCAUGAAUUAAUGCCCUCAACACAAUGGUAGAAAGUCAGCUUUUGGACAGAAAAGGUCAUUCCUUCCCUGAGUUAGACAUACUCAGAAACUCUUGGUCCCUUAAACAUCUUGAUAAAAAUUGAUGAAACUUUGGAGUCUUGCAGCAGUAAUUUUCAAACAUCACAGUCUCUACUAGUAAAAAGUGCAUUUAUUUCUUGAUGAUUUAUCAGUAUCUCUGGGCUCCAGAAUGAUCAUCUGGAAUAUAUAAAUCUUUGUGAAAUAUGUAGUCAUGGAAUUUAUUGCAUAGUUAAUACUUUUCAUCAAUCUUACCUUUCAAAUUGGUAGUCUCCAUUAAGAAACAUUUUAAUGAUAAACAGUAAAAUAUGCCAACCUUCCUAUUAGUUAUCUUUUUUGUAUGUACCUCUGAAUGUUAAAGUGUUGAUCAUUAUUUACACAGCGAUAUUUCAUUGUAGUUACUAUCGUAUAGUUCAGCUCAAUGUCAGACUGCCCACUGGAUGCACUGUACAAGUCAGUAAAUGAAUAUCAUUAUAUGUAUUUUUGUUUUUUAAAUGAAAGUAUUGUAGCAGCAAGGAAAAUGCAACCCACUUCAAUUUAUUUACUUUUUUUUUUUUUUAACUAAUACAGGAAGUUGUGUAUGGAGCAUUGUAAAGAAAAAGAUUUUGGAGUAGUGUGGUCGUGUGUUAAUAAUUGUGUGGCCUUAUGCACAUUAUUUAAAUGCUCUGUUGUACUUACUCUGAGACAGGCAUUGUGCGAGGCUCUGGGAACGGAACACAAAAAAGGUAGAAUCUGGCUCUAAGCUGAUUAGAGUUUCAUGAAAGUGGAGGUGGGACGAGAAAAACAUCACAAAAUUGUUGAAAUGAAAUGAGUUUAUGUAUACCCAGUGCACAGAUAAGUGCCGGGUAACAGAGACAAAGUUGUAAAUACUGGUUUUCCCUUUCCAGAUGUUCCCUAUUUGUCUUCUUUACAGAAGACCUGAUACCAUACAGUGACAUUUUAUCAUAAUACCAAACUGCAUUGGUGACUGGAGUUUGGCUGAGCAUGGUCUUAUUUGGGUCAAGCAUGUGGGCAAGAGAGAGUCGAAAAGGGUGUCACCCUGGAACUGCCGGACAGAGAUGGGCCCAAAGCUGCUCCUGUACCUGGAGGUGUGGAAGAUGGAUCCCAUGUGGAUGGAAGGCACCCAAGAGAUGGCCACAUCACACAAAUGACUGCUGACGCCUGGAGUUGCUGCUGGGGAGAGAGAGGACCCCUCACUGAACAGGGCAGGUUGGAUGGACCACCCGCCCACAGCCCACAUUCUCUGUCCUAGAAAAGUGGUCCUGGAUACCCAUGGGAAGAGCUGAGAACUCACAGUCAGGGAAGAUGUCAGUUCCUCUCUCUUCCUCUUUCCCACCCUGACUGGGAAGGGGGAGUGUAAGGAAGCAUGUGAGGGGCAGGUGUACCCCCUCCUGCACAACAAGCUGCUAGAACCACAGGGGGAUCUGGAAUUAGAGCUGGGGAGGGUACAGGAAGGGGGAAGCUCUUUGAAUCAUGUGGGAAAUUGAAGUUCAAGAGUGAAAUGUCUCAGCUAAGACAUUUUGGGAAGUCAAAAGUGACUGAAAUGUUAUGAGACCUCGUCGGGAGGAAGGAUGGGUUUGACAGAGUAUAUCAUUGGGCAGCAACUGUGAGGAAAAAUGGUUCCACCUUUUAAUCCCAAUAACUGAGACCCCUCCACAAACCGGUUGCAGCAUCUGACGUUCCAUCUCGAUGAACUCUCAGGUGGCCCAUCCUUGUGUCAUGCCUUCAACAUGCUGAAUGCCAUUUCUUUGUUAUCUUUGGUUUUGGAGCUGUUUGUACCUCCAGAGUAUACAUUUAUGGGAGACAAGGAC